This 253-nucleotide ribosomal RNA is filed under the name uncultured bacterium. RNAcentral describes it as "partial 16S ribosomal RNA". It matches the Rfam family "Bacterial small subunit ribosomal RNA", at positions 524 to 776 of the family's 1533-position model. The record is from RNAcentral.
UACGGAGGGUGCAAGCGUUAUCCGGAUUCACUGGGUUUAAAGGGUGCGUAGGCGGUCGGGUAAGUCUGAUGUGAAAUCUCACAGCUUAACUGUGAAACUGCAUUGGAUACUAUUCGGCUUGAGGUUUGGAGGGGGGACUGGAAUUCUCGGUGUAGCAGUGAAAUGCGUAGAUAUCGAGAGGAACACCAGUGGCGAAGGCGAGUCCCUGGACAAAUCCUGACGCUGAGGCACGAAAGCUAGGGGAGCAAACAGG